Molecule: ribosomal RNA, 253 nt
Filed under: uncultured bacterium
Lineage: Bacteria
Description: partial 16S ribosomal RNA
Rfam family: Bacterial small subunit ribosomal RNA
Source: RNAcentral
UACGUAGGGGGCAAGCGUUGUCCGGAAUCAUUGGGCGUAAAGAGCGUGUAGGCGGCUGGGUAGGUCUGCUGUGAAAACUCGAGGCUCAACCUCGAGACGUCGGCGGAAACCCUCCAGCUAGAGUCCGGAAGAGGAGAGUGGAAUUCACGGUGUAGCAGUGAAAUGCGUAGAUAUCGUGAGGAAGACCAGUGGCGAAGGCGGAUCUCUGGACAGCUCCUGACGCUGAGGCGCGAAAGCUAGGGGAGCAAACGGG